This 253-nucleotide ribosomal RNA is filed under the name uncultured bacterium. Its description in RNAcentral is "partial 16S ribosomal RNA". It matches the Rfam family "Bacterial small subunit ribosomal RNA", at positions 524 to 776 of the family's 1533-position model. The record is from RNAcentral.
UACGUAGGGGGCUAGCGUUGUCCGGAAUCAUUGGGCGUAAAGCGCGUGUAGGCGGCCCGAUAAGUCCGCUGUGAAAGUCCAGGGCUCAACCCUGCGAUGCCGGUGGAUACUGUCGGGCUCGAGUCCGGAAGAGGCGAGUGGAAUUCCUGGUGUAGCGGUGAAAUGCGCAGAUAUCAGGAGGAACACCAAUGGCGAAGGCAGCUCGCUGGGACGUGACUGACGCUGAGACGCGAAAGCGUGGGGAGCAAACAGG